AGCUUGAUGACCAAGAAACAGGGACUUGCGUGAUAACAAAAAAACAUGGGAAAUAUAUAGAGACAAUAGAAUAAGAUGGAACACCUCAGAUAUGUGAUUCAGGGUACUGCUUGUACCAAAUUGCUGCAGAUUUUCAUAUGUACAGAAUGUAAAACAAGACUACAACAUUCAUGGACACCAUGAAUCGAAACAAACACCUAGUAACUAAUAUAUGUAGUAUAUUAUCUUGACAUGAUUGCAUGACUUUCACAUUAAAUAAAAUUGAGCACAUGGUAGCAUUUCAGUUCCAUCUAGACACAACGAAAUCAUCACAAAAGCAUUGGUUUUGCCUCAAUUUUAAUUGACUGCUGUAGAGACUUGCAAAACUGAAUUCCAAUCAACCUGAAACAGCAGAAAGGUAUUAGGACUUGAUUGCUGCAGAUCUGCAAAACUGAACCCGAAUUAACCUAUACAAUAAUAGAGAGAAUUAGGAUUUGAGAUCUGCUUGUGUUCUAGGGUUCAAGAAGGGAGAGAGGCAGACUCACAGACACCAGAAUAGUGAGUAAUGGAGGGAUGGGCACCAUGGGAGGGGAAGGAGAGAGAGAAGGCGCCAUGGUAGGGAAGGAUGUGUUGGAGGAGAGGGGCAGCAAAUGGAGAGAAGAAAGGGAGGAGAUAUGCCACGGAGAAGAUAAUAUCUGAAGUUUUACCUGCGCCGCCGUCGCCGAGACCUCUCCGUCGUCGCCUCGAGCCCACCGUCGUCGCCAUGGAUAAGGAUUGAGGAGGACAGACCAGAUCCUCC
This 778-nucleotide long non-coding RNA is filed under the name Triticum aestivum (bread wheat). RNAcentral's name for it is "long non-coding RNA (TAES_LNC007556)". The record is from RNAcentral. Lineage: Eukaryota; Viridiplantae; Streptophyta; Magnoliopsida; Poales; Poaceae.